UUGAACGCUGGCGGAAUGCUUUACACAUGCAAGUCGAGCGGCAGCGCGGGGGCAACCCUGGCGGCGAGCGGCGAACGGGUGAGUAAUGUAUCGGAACGUACCCUGUCGUGGGGGAUAACACAGCGAAAGCUGUGCUAAUACCGCAUACGACCUGAGGGUGAAAGCGGGGGAUCGCAAGACCUCGCGCGAUAGGAGCGGCCGAUAUCGGAUUAGCUUGUUGGUGAGGUAAAGGCUCACCAAGGCGACGAUCCGUAGCUGGUCUGAGAGGACGACCAGCCACACUGGAACAGAGACACGGUCCAGACUCCUACGGGAGGCAGCAGUGGGGAAUUUUGGACGAUGGGGGCAACCCUGAUCCAGCCAUGCCGGGUGAGUGAAGGAGGCCUUCGGGUUGUAAAGCUCUUUCGGCAGGGACGAAACGGUGAGCUCUAACAUAGCUUGCUAAUGACGGUACCUGAAGAAGAAGCACCGGCUAACUACGU
RNAcentral lists this ribosomal RNA (482 nucleotides) under uncultured bacterium. RNAcentral's name for it is "bacterial SSU rRNA". It matches the Rfam family "Bacterial small subunit ribosomal RNA", at positions 29 to 506 of the family's 1533-position model. The record is from RNAcentral.